RNAcentral lists this long non-coding RNA (358 nucleotides) under Apis dorsata (giant honeybee). Its description in RNAcentral is "uncharacterized LOC116185103, transcript variant X3". Lineage: Eukaryota; Metazoa; Arthropoda; Insecta; Hymenoptera; Apidae. The record is from RNAcentral.
ACCCGUCCAGGGCGCUGCCACCGCAAAUCCGACGUCACGAGUAUCAAUGUCGAUAAACUUGCCGUACUCCAAGCUGUAUACACAAACACAACGAUGCAGGUCUCUCAGCAGAAAAGAAGGAUAACAAGAAGCUAGAAGGUCCAUAAUAGGAACAACAAGAAAGAGAGAAAGUAAGAGAUGAUAAAAGUGGAAGGAGAGGAAGUUGAUGGAGAAACAGGAUAGAGAGAAUCCGCUAACAGUGGGCGGCUUUCCUCAAGGAACUCACAGUUAAACGAAUACACAGAGAAUUACGUUGGUAGGUUAACUGUCCGGUUGGAUGGUUGACUGGUGGUACUCUUGGUUUGCCGCUGCUGGCUCG